RNAcentral lists this long non-coding RNA (1752 nucleotides) under Malus domestica (apple). RNAcentral describes it as "long non-coding RNA (MDOM_LNC014424)". The record is from RNAcentral. Lineage: Eukaryota; Viridiplantae; Streptophyta; Magnoliopsida; Rosales; Rosaceae.
CGAGCUCCCAUACACAUAUACACUCAUGCACACUCACACAACAUGACGACCUCACCCCUUCCCCAUAUCCUUUGCGAGUCCCACAAACCCAGGAUCGAUGGAGGAACCCCUCCCUCCCGUCACUGUGCAACCUUCCCCGACAUGUUCUGUCGUCUACGGCCAAGGGUAAGACUCUAAAACCUUGUGGGGUGUGUUUUAAGGUUAGUUAGGGUAGGUUUGAUGUUUGUGUACAUUGGUUGGACGUAGAACAACUCGGGGAGGUGUUUUUCCAGUUUUACCGGUGAGUCCGGUGAUUUCCAGCUAAUUUCUGGCUAAACCACGGUGAGUUGGCCAUCGUGCAAGGUAUCAAUAUUUUUGUCUCGCUGAAUACUACAACUUUCCUUUUGGUUUCACCCAAUUUCGCUGAGUAUUGAAGAAGUUAUAUUCAUUUGAAUCUUACCUAGUUUCCGGUGACCUCUGCGGAUUUCGAGCUUUUUCCGACCAAACCACGGCGGGUUAGACGUCAUGCAAGGUACCAUUCUCUUCCUCUCGUCAAGAACUAUGAUUUUCAUUUUUGAAUCACUUGAUUUCAUUAAGUAUUGACAAAGUUAUGAACGUUUAAAUUUUGUCUAAUUUUCCAGCCGAAAUAUGACCUUCUUGGAGUCCGACGACCCACAAGUUAAACGGGUCAAACCCGACUCAGAAUCAGAAACCUAGCCUAAACCUUGGGCCCUUGUGACCCAAGCCCAAACCCAAAACCUUUUUAAACCCAAACCUAAAUCUGAAUUUAGGCCCAACCCUUUUAGCCUAAACCCCUAACCCUUUGUCACUUAGGCCUUUGGGCCAUUUAGAACUCGGGCCUUAGGCCCGUGACCCCCAAAGCCCAAACCCCUUUUAUUUAUUUAUUUGUUUUAUUUGUUUGAAACUAAACCUAAACUCUUAAAGUCCAACCCUUUUAAUAUAGGACCUUCGGCCCACUAAACCCUUUAACCUUUCAAACCCUAAACCCUAACAGGCCAAAACCCUUGAUGGGGAAUAUUUCAUUAAGGAAUAUUCUUUGGAAUAUUCAUUGUGUUGACUUUUAUGAAAUUUACCUGGGACCAUUCUUAGGGUAAUUCGACAUCCUAAAUCCGUUUUCCCAAAUUCAAUUGUUAUAAUAUAGUUUUAUUAAUUGGUCUCUUUAUAUGUUUAGGUGCAUAUAUUGUGACGAUUUCGUCUUCGCUAGUUUGUGUGGCUCUUUGACAACAAAGUAUAUGUGAGUGGGCCCCUUCUAAAAUGCAUGUUUUAAUAGUAGAAAUGCAUACAUGAAAAACAUGAUUUAAUGAUUACGUUUUAUGAGAAAUUUAUUAUCAUGCUAUACUGAGCUUAUUUUGGAAUACCAUAUUUUCUAUCGAACCCAGGUUCUUGUAGGAUAUCUGAUGGAUGACGAUAUACUAUUUAGAACAUGUUUUUAUAACACUUCUUUAUAGUAUAGAUGAUGGAUGACUUUAUACUAUGAAGAUGUUUUUGUGUGAGAGAGAGAGUGAGAGAGAGAGAUAUAUAUACACACACACACACACACAUACACCUAUGUUUGGAAAGACUAUGUUCAAUGGUCUUGUGCGUGUCUAGUGAUCACUAUAUAUAUGUCUUCGGGUGAGUGUUGUAAGAGCCUUCAGGCGAUUGAUAUAUAUAUAUGCCUUCAGGUGGGUGUUGUAGGAGCAUUCGGGCCAAUGAUACUAUAUAUGCCUUUGGGUGGGUGUUGUAGGAGCCUUCAGACGAUUGAUACUAUAU